This 702-nucleotide ribosomal RNA is filed under the name uncultured bacterium. RNAcentral describes it as "bacterial SSU rRNA". It matches the Rfam family "Bacterial small subunit ribosomal RNA", at positions 64 to 801 of the family's 1533-position model. The record is from RNAcentral.
GAACGGAGAAUUGCUAGCUUGCUAAUAAUUCUCUAGUGGCGCACGGGUGAGUAACACGUGAGUACCUGCCCCCAAGAGUGGGAUAGCCCCGGGAAACUGGGAUUAAUACCGCAUAAAGCAAUAAAGCAGCAAUGCGCUUGGGGAUGGGCUCGCGUCCUAUUAGUUAGUUGGUGAGGUAACGGCUCACCAAGGCGAUGACGGGUAGCCGGUCUGAGAGGAUGUCCGGCCACACUGGAACUGAGACACGGUCCAGACACCUACGGGUGGCAGCAGUCGAGAAUCAUUCACAAUGGGGGAAACCCUGAUGGUGCGACGCCGCGUGGGGGAUAAGGUCUUCGGAUUGUAAACCCCUGUCAUGUGGGACAUUAAAAGAUAGUACCACAAGAGGAAGAGACGGCUAACUCUGUGCCAGCAGCCGCGGUAAUACAGAGGUCUCAAGCGUUGUUCGGAAUCACUGGGCGUAAAGCGUGCGUAGGCGGUUUCGUAAGUCGUGUGUGAAAGGCGGGGGCUCAACCCCCGGACUGCACAUGAUACUGCGAGACUAGAGUAAUGGAGGGGGAACCGGAAUUCUCGGUGUAGCAGUGAAAUGCGUAGAUAUCGAGAGGAACACUCGUGGCGAAGGCGGGUUCCUGGACAUUAACUGACGCUGAGGCACGAAGGCCAGGGGAGCGAAAGGGAUUAGAUACCCCUGUAGUCCUGGCA